Molecule: non-coding RNA, 28 nt
Filed under: Mus musculus (house mouse)
Lineage: Eukaryota; Metazoa; Chordata; Mammalia; Rodentia; Muridae
Source: RNAcentral
UCCCAGAGAGUGCCUAUGAAAGUUUGGA